GAAAGGUUAAUCUAAAAUAAGACUAUCGAUUUCGACUCAAUAAACUGUGGACAACACCACAACCUUUCU
This 69-nucleotide transfer RNA is filed under the name Microcaecilia sp. PZ-2009. RNAcentral's name for it is "tRNA-Arg". The record is from RNAcentral. Lineage: Eukaryota; Metazoa; Chordata; Amphibia; Gymnophiona; Siphonopidae.